Candidatus Doudnabacteria bacterium RIFCSPHIGHO2_01_52_17 is the source of this 108-nucleotide non-coding RNA. NCBI's taxonomy places the organism in Bacteria, Candidatus Doudnaibacteriota. The record is from Rfam.
GUCGGUGUUCUAUCCCGGCGUGUCCCACCUCUUCCCAUUCCGAACAGAGAAGUGAAAGCACCGGGAUCCGAUGAUACUCCGCAAGGGGGAAAGUAGGAUAUGCCGACA